CAGCUGGAUGCAGAGGGGCAGCACAGCUGGCACAGCUGGCACAGCUGGCACAGCUGGAGCCUGGCUGGGUUCCCCACGCUGGAGGAGGGGCUGCUGUCCUGUGCAGAGCCCUCUGCAGCCCCAGCCUCACCCCUGGAUGUCCAGGAGAGCAGAUUCUCCCCCUGCCUGCCCCUGCUGCUGAGCCCAGCCCCGGCUGAGUCGUUCCUGCAGGGAUCCCAGCUGGAUUUCCUCCCCUUGAGAGCCACCCCAGAUGUUUCUGGAGCAUCCCUGGAGCAGGGGGGAGCAUCCCCAGCCCCUCCCAGUUCAUCCCAGCAUCCCCAGCCCACGGG
This is a long non-coding RNA of Catharus ustulatus (Swainson's thrush), 329 nucleotides long. RefSeq lists it as uncharacterized. The transcript has 3 exons. Lineage: Eukaryota; Metazoa; Chordata; Aves; Passeriformes; Turdidae. The record is from RefSeq and is a predicted model, not a curated record.